Molecule: ribosomal RNA, 785 nt
Filed under: Lambiella fuscosora
Lineage: Eukaryota; Fungi; Ascomycota; Lecanoromycetes; Baeomycetales; Xylographaceae
Description: SSU rRNA
Rfam family: Eukaryotic small subunit ribosomal RNA
Source: RNAcentral
GUGAAACUGCGAAUGGCUCAUUAAAUCAGUUAUCGUUUAUUUGAUAGUACCUUACUACUUGGAUACCUGUGGUAAUUCUAGAGCUAAUACAUGCUAAAAACUUCGACUUCGGAAGGGGUGUAUUUAUUAGAUAAAAAACCAAUGCCCUUCGGGGCUCCUUGGUGAUUCAUAAUAACUCAACGAAUCGCAUGGCCUUGCGCCGGCGAUGGUUCAUUCAAAUUUCUGCCCUAUCAACUUUCGAUGGUAGUAUAGAGGACUACCAUGGUUUCUACGGGUAACGGGGAAUUAGGGUUCUAUUCCGGAGAGGGAGCCUGAGAAACGGCUACCACAUCCAAGGAAGGCAGCAGGCGCGCAAAUUACCCAAUCCCGACACGGGGAGGUAGUGACAAUAAAUACUGAUCCAGGGCUCUUUUGGGUCUUGGAAUUGGAAUGAGUACAAUUUAAAUCCCUUAACGAGGAACAAUUGGAGGGCAAGUCUGGUGCCAGCAGCCGCGGUAAUUCCAGCUCCAAUAGCGUAUAUUAAAGUUGUUGCAGUUAAAAAGCUCGUAGUUGAAACUUGGGUCUGGCUGACCGGUCCGCCUCACCGCGUGCACUGGCUUGGCCGGACCUUUCCUUCUGGGGAACCGCAUGGCCUUCAUUGGUCGUGUUGGGGAUCCAGAACUUUUACUUUGAAAAAAUUAGAGUGUUCAAAGCAGGCCUAUGCUCGAAUACAUUAGCAUGGAAUAAUAGAAUAGGACGUGUGGUUCUAUUUUGUUGGUUUCUAGGACCGCCGUAAUGAUUAAUAG